Urocitellus parryii (Arctic ground squirrel) is the source of this 1787-nucleotide long non-coding RNA. RefSeq lists it as uncharacterized. The record is from RefSeq and is a predicted model, not a curated record. NCBI's taxonomy places the organism in Eukaryota, Metazoa, Chordata, Mammalia, Rodentia, Sciuridae.
UCUCUGCUCCCCCCUUCUCUCUCCUUCUCUACCUCUCCCUCGCCCUCUCUUUCACUCUCUCUCUCUCUCUGUCCAAUGCAGGCGGCUCUAAGUUGGGAAGCUCAUUAAUUAGCGGGCCGGGGGUAGGAGGAGCCGGCUGGAAUUAGCCUGCCUAAUGCGCCUGUCAGUCCGGGCGCUGCGCCGCGCUCGGCCCGAGCUGUUUGUAAAUUACAUUAGCGGCGCCUUUAUUGCACCCGAACCUCGGGCGACUGAAAAGCCACCGCCCCCACCCCAAACUGAGAGCCGAGCUCCGGGCGCACCCGCCUCCCGCAGGCCUGGUUGCGGUGGCAGCGCCAGCCCGGAGGUCUCAGGCUCUCCAACCCGGGAUUUGGAGUCCGAGAAGGGUGGCGGGAGCCCCAACAAGGGAGGGACGCGGCCGCGGCGCGGGUCAGGUAAGAACAGGAGUCCGGGUGGGCCCGGUUCCGCCCACUGUGGACUUUGCCAAGCCGAAAUCAAGAACCUAGCCCCAUUCCCGGAUCCUUGUCCCUCACCCCCAGCUCUGGGCCAUGUGCUUGGAGAAAGGGAACCUGAAGCCCUCCUGGACUGGCGCGCAGGAGGUCAACCUAACCCUGUAUUCGGCCUCUGACUGCUUUACCCACACAACCUCCCUCACCUCGGUGAGUCUCCGACCAAUACGCUCGCACAGGCUCCGCAGGCUCUCCAGUCCAGGGCAGGCGCAAGGAGGCCCCUAGCCGGACUUCAGGUAUGGCGGCCGAAGCCCGGGCCCCUGGGGAAGUCUGGAUUUACUCUGGCGCUGGUGGCUCCGGUUUGACAGCCAAAUCUCCAUCCCAGGAUUCCUAGAGGCUCAGCAGGGCAGCUCAGGUGUCUAUGGAGAUGCAGAUGAGGUGGAGUGAUGGCACUUUGACCUCACACUGCUCCGCUGCUGGCUGUAAGAUUUUGCCGAUGAGGUGCCAGGCAUUGGACUCCUUCUCUCCAGUUCUCACCGUCUCUAUUUUGCAGAAGAAGAAACACGUGAAGGUCUCAUCGCUCUAAUCAGCCUCACAAGGGGCAUUCGAACCCAGAUCCAGUUAGAAGCCUCUGCACUUUAAGCCUUUGCGGUCUUGCCUUGGACCCAGGGCCAACUAAGCCCAGAGGAGUUGGGUUGAAUUCUCAAGCGUUCGUCCCCUGCCCCUCCUGGCUCUAGGAAAGGUUUGAAAAUUUUAUUUUCGGGCUAACGAUUUUGGCGGCGCCUAAAGAAGGACGGAAGUGAGACCAAGGAGGAACCUAAGUUACAGGCGAGCCCCUAGGGAGGCGGCAGCGGCAGGGUCGAAUUCAAAUCCCUUCUGGACUUGUGCUCUUUGGAGUCUGUCCUAGUCUGGCUGUUCUGUGGGGCCUAUUUUGGGACAGUCCUGGACCAAGAGGGAGAAGAAGCCGAAGCAGAUAAUUCCCCCACUAUUCCUCUCUCUCCAGGGGCACCUCGCUGGGGUCGGAUCCCUAGCUGGAGGAGGGGUUGGCUGUUGGGGAGCGGAAUGGAAGCAUAAGCCUAGGAACCUCCGGGUGGGCGGGGAGGGACUGGAGUCAGGCUCUCCGGCGACCAGGUACCAAGUCCUAGCGCAUGGUCGCUUUGUGGCAGCCCCAACAGGCCACGCGUACCUCGCCACAAGUCCCAUUACGUUGUAUUUAUGCUUCAGUUUAUUGUCUCUCCCCCUCUCUUAUUAUGGUCUCACUCUGGGGGAGGCAAAGGAUAUAAUAUAUUCAUCUUUAUUAUACCAAAUCUGUGUGAAGCAUUUAAUAAAAUGCUGUUUCCG